This 1554-nucleotide unclassified non-coding RNA is filed under the name Hevea brasiliensis (rubber tree). Lineage: Eukaryota; Viridiplantae; Streptophyta; Magnoliopsida; Malpighiales; Euphorbiaceae. The record is from RNAcentral.
CGAGGAAUAGAUAUAGAGAAUCGUAUAGCCAACCUAACUAAUUGGGACUAAGGCAUAGUUGAUUGACACAUUGGUACUCUAAAUCCAGAAAGGAUAAGGAAAAUAGCGUUUUCAUAAGAUCAUUUGCCAGAACAAACUUAAAUAGUAAAAAAGAAACUGACCACCCAGACAUCAUUCACAUCAAAGCCACAAUCCAAAUAUGCAACCCCCAUUAUAGACUCCAUAACGUCUGCAAGAACCUUUGGUUCUUUUGUCGUUCCUCCGUAGAACUCAAUCUUCUCCUCCUGUUGCAGUGUGUCACGAACUCCUUCACUUACGUCAAAUUCAAAGUCUCUUCCAUUACAAUGCCACGUAGGAACUAUUGUAAUCAGUUUGCCAAUCUAGUGCCAAUGAAAUGUGCAAUUACGCCUUUUCAUCGAGUAUUGCCGCAUCAUGGAUGAGGCACUUGUAGAGGCCGUGCUGGGGACAACAACUCUUAAUAAGUUUUUCUGUACUUACAUCUGCAGCAGAGAGGUAUGUUAGCUUGCGAUAGUCAAUGUCAGGGUAAGUCACGAAGAAAUAACUAGAAAUAGCUAAGUUGAGAGCUGGUAAUUAGAAGCUGAAUCAGGACAAGAAGAGUGAGUAAGAGCUUUUCUAAGAGCUUCCAGCUGUUAAAUCAGUACUUCAAUAACUCUCCCAUUGCCCUUAGUGGUAUCGCCAUGUUUGUAAUUUCUUCCUUCGGCGACAGCAACACAACUUAUUUCCGUCGGUCACCACCGCACAAUUCUCUGAAGGAGCUCGUGCACACGGAGCAACAACAAAUUCACAAACAACUGCACAUUCUACACCAUAAACAUAGAGCUGUCAUUUGCACAAAAAAGGGAGAAACUUCAUUGAGGCGGUUGAUUAUAAGACGGUAUGGGCAAUCAAAUCCAGCUAUACAUGUCAAACCAUGUGAUUGAAUUUUGGCCGCACCCAACUUUGGUUUUUCUAUGUGGUAUUGCAAGAGAACAAACAAAUUAUGGAACCAGUAGUUUAAAAAUGUAUAAUGUGUGUUACUGUUUCUUCCUAUGAGUGGGUGGUUCGAAUUUUUGCUUGUUAUUUCCUAGCUGAGGAGCAUAGAUGUUGAGGGCUUCUUUUCAAGCCAGGAUGAGACAAUCAGAGUGCCAAGCUUUUGGGAAAAUUGGCAUUUGUAGCUAAAGUCUGCAAAGCUUAUGAGCAAACUGGCAGUUGAUAUAGGCAACUAGCAUCGAUUGACGAGAAUCAUAUGUAAUGUAAGGAGAAAGUACGGAGAGAAGCUUGUUUAGUUGUAGUGCUUAUAUAUGUGUGCACGUUGAAAAUGACAAUUCGAUAUACUUUUUCAGCUGUCAUGGAUAGUAGUUUUUCAGCCAACAUUUCCGAGACCGUGGCUGUUAGCGUACCACUGUUAUGUGUGAGUCAAGCUCAAAAUGGCACACAGACAAACAGAUCUGACACUGAAUGCCGAUGCAGCAGCAAAAUUGAAACACACAGAAGAAAUCUAAACCAAACCAGCAAAAGGACUCACGAGUAAACAAAUUUAACAAUAGAAUGCUG